UACGUAGGGGGCGAGCGUUAAUCGGAAUUACUGGGCGUAAAGCGUGCGCAGGCGGUCCGCUAAGACAGGUGUGAAAUCCCUGGGCUCAACCUAGGAAUUGCGCUUGUGACUGGCGGGCUAGAGUACGGUAGAGGGGGGUGGAAUUCCUGGUGUAGCAGUGAAAUGCGUAGAGAUCAGGAGGAACACCGAUGGCGAAGGCAGCCCCCUGGGCCGGUACUGACGCUCAGGCACGAAAGCGUGGGGAGCAAACAGG
Molecule: ribosomal RNA, 253 nt
Filed under: uncultured bacterium
Lineage: Bacteria
Description: partial 16S ribosomal RNA
Rfam family: Bacterial small subunit ribosomal RNA
Source: RNAcentral